RNA transcript from Glycine soja, 948 nucleotides. RefSeq lists it as uncharacterized. Lineage: Eukaryota; Viridiplantae; Streptophyta; Magnoliopsida; Fabales; Fabaceae. The transcript is spliced from 5 exons. The record is from RefSeq and is a predicted model, not a curated record.
CGCAUAUGAUCCUGAAUCGCAAAAGUAGCGGUUUUUUUAUAUCUGUUAAUAUGGAAUUAGCUCAAUUCCCAUUCACCUAGAUAUUUUUUUCACUGGCUAAUUCUUGCUUUAUGAGAAGAAUAGCAAAAUUAAUUUUGAUCUCACAUAGUUAGGAGUAUGACCCGAUCGUUAGAUAACUACCACAACUACAAAAAGCAGUUUUAACAUCGACAUAUUCAUAUCGGUUUUUGACAAAACGGAUGUUAACAAAAAUGCGGUGACAUUAUUGUAAAUAAAAUAAGUUUAUCAACAUCGGUUUUUUCAAAAAAUCGACUUUGGAUGACUUAAUUAAAAACCAAAACUGGACUGUCUGCACACUCUCGCUCGCACUCUCGCAACACCACGCUGACCACCGUCACAAGUGUGCUUCUCCGGCGUGCGAAAACACUCACCGUCACAAGAUCCACAGGUUUCAUCUGCUCUUCUUUCUGUGUGGAAGAGUCAUCAGCCUCCAUUUGCACCUAGAACAGGAAAUUAUCAACAAAGCCAGUGGUCAUUGAGUUAUUUGUUAGAUUGUUCCUUUCAUUUUGAAUCGUGCUGCUCAUCAUCACAGGCCCAUGGCUACUCCACCUGGCUUGCCUCCUCCUCCUCUUGUAGUAGCAUCACAAACUCCGUCUACCUUUAAGCGGACACGUAAAGCCACACGACUACGAUCCUUGGCCACUAGACCACCUGGGGCAGAGAGACCGGUGGUCCACGUCGAUCCUGCGACUGGGAAUGCUGACAAUCCCCACAAGAAGAAAUUAAGAAUAUAUUUGGGGAUUGUCACUCGUGAUAAGGUCGACAUGACAUACGAGACUUGGAAGGAAGUCCCUACUACUCAGAAGGAUUUGAUAUGGGAGAUUAUUCAGGCUGAAUUUGAUAUCCCUGAAGCAUCUCUGUUAUAGCACACGGUGGUCAAUGUCUCAG